This 305-nucleotide ribosomal RNA is filed under the name uncultured bacterium. RNAcentral's name for it is "bacterial SSU rRNA". It matches the Rfam family "Bacterial small subunit ribosomal RNA", at positions 335 to 639 of the family's 1533-position model. The record is from RNAcentral.
UACCUACGGGGGGCAGCAGUGAGGAAUAUUGGUCAAUGGGCGUAAGCCUGAACCAGCCAAGUCGCGUGAGGGAUGAAGGUUCUAUGGAUCGUAAACCUCUUUUAUAAGGGAAUAAAGUGCGGGACGUGUCCCGUUUUGUGUGUACCUUAUGAAUAAGGAUCGGCUAACUCCGUGCCAGCAGCCGCGGUAAUACGGAGGAUCCGAGCGUUAUCCGGAUUUAUUGGGUUUAAAGGGUACGUAGGCGGUUUUUUAAGUUAGUGGUUAAACGUCGGGGCUUCACCUUGAUUUGCCAUUAAUACUGUAAA